AUUGAACGCUGGCGGAAUGCUUUACACAUGCAAGUCGAACGGUAGAGGGGGCAACCCCUCGAGAGUGGCGAACGGGUGAGUAAUAUAUCGGAACGUGCCCAGUCGUGGGGGAUAACGUAGCGAAAGUUACGCUAAUACCGCAUACGAUCUAAGGAUGAAAGCGGGGGAUCGCAAGACCUCGCGCGAUUGGAGCGGCCGAUAUCAGAUUAGGUAGUUGGUGGGGGAAAGGCUCACCAAGCCAACGAUCUGUAGCUGGUCUGAGAGGACGACCAGCCACACUGGAACUGAGACACGGUCCAGACUCCUACGGGAGGCAGCAGUGGGGAAUUUUGGACAAUGGACGCAAGUCUGAUUCAGCCAUUCCGCGUGCAGGAUGAAGGCCCUCGGGUUGUAAACUGCUUUUGUACGGAACGAAAAGGUCUCUCUUAAUACGGGGGACUCAUGACGGUACCGUAAGAAUAAGCACCGGCUAACUACGUGCCAGCAGCCGCCGUAA
Molecule: ribosomal RNA, 496 nt
Filed under: uncultured bacterium
Lineage: Bacteria
Description: partial 16S ribosomal RNA
Rfam family: Bacterial small subunit ribosomal RNA
Source: RNAcentral